GACAGAGGUGCCGAGCGUUUAGGCGGAAUCACUGGGCUUAAAGCGUGUGUAGGCGGAUCCGUAAGUACCUUGUGAAAUCCCACGGCUCAACCGGGGAACGGCUGGGUAUACUGGCGAUCUUGAGCCACCUAGGGGCAGUCGGAACAAGUGGUGGAGCGGUGAAAUGCGUAGAUAUCACUUGGAACGCCAAUGGUGAAAACAGACUGCUGGGGGUGUGCUGACGCUGAGACACGAAAGCCAGGGGAGCAAACAGG
RNAcentral lists this ribosomal RNA (254 nucleotides) under uncultured bacterium. RNAcentral's name for it is "partial 16S ribosomal RNA". It matches the Rfam family "Bacterial small subunit ribosomal RNA", at positions 524 to 776 of the family's 1533-position model. The record is from RNAcentral.